AGUUCGGACNGUAGGCUGCAACUCGCCUACACGAAGCUGGAAUCGCUAGUAAUCGCGGAUCAGCACGCCGCGGUGAAUACGUUCCCGGGCCUUGUACACACCGCCCGUCACACCAUGAGAGUCUGUAACACCCAAAGCCGGUGGGAUAACCUUUAUAGGAGUCAGCCGUCUAAGGUAGGACAGAUGAUUAGGGUGAAGUCGUAACAAGGUACC
This 213-nucleotide ribosomal RNA is filed under the name uncultured bacterium. RNAcentral's name for it is "partial 16S ribosomal RNA". It matches the Rfam family "Bacterial small subunit ribosomal RNA", at positions 1290 to 1500 of the family's 1533-position model. The record is from RNAcentral.